RNAcentral lists this ribosomal RNA (283 nucleotides) under uncultured bacterium. Its description in RNAcentral is "partial 16S ribosomal RNA". It matches the Rfam family "Bacterial small subunit ribosomal RNA", at positions 66 to 354 of the family's 1533-position model. The record is from RNAcentral.
CGUUGCCUGCACCUGCCGGCGACCGGCGCACGGGUGAGUAACACGUAUGGAACCUGCCCGCCACAGGGGGAUAACCCGGGGAAACCCGGCCUAAUACCCCAUGCCGCCCGGGCCGGGCAUCCGGUCCGGGCGAAAGGAGGAAUCCGGUGGCGGCUGGGCAUGCGGCGCAUUAGCUUGACGGCGGGGUAACGGCCCACCGUGGCGACGAUGCGUAGGGGUUCUGAGAGGAAGGCCCCCCACACUGGAACUGAGACACGGUCCAGACUCCUACGGAAGGCAGCAG